UUUCCUCAGGGGCACAGAUACUAAAAUAGGAGUAAAAAAGAUUCUCAUGGACCCUGCGUGAGGAUAACAUGAACACUCUAGAGCAUCCCAUAUUUUU
RNAcentral lists this small nuclear RNA (97 nucleotides) under Tupaia belangeri (northern tree shrew). Lineage: Eukaryota; Metazoa; Chordata; Mammalia; Scandentia; Tupaiidae. The record is from RNAcentral.